GACAGAGGUCCCGAGCGUUAGGCGGAAUCACUGGGCUUAAAGCGUGUGUAGGCGGAGUUCUAAGUACCUUGUGAAAUCCCACGGCUCAACCGUGGAACUGCUUGGUAUACUGGUUCUCUUGAGCCACCUAGGGGCAACCGGAACAAACGGUGGAGCGGUGAAAUGCGUAGAUAUCGUCAGGAAUGCCAAUGGUGAAGACAGGUGACUGGGCUGGUUCUGACACUGAGGCACGAAAGCGUGGGGAGCGAACGGG
Molecule: ribosomal RNA, 253 nt
Filed under: uncultured bacterium
Lineage: Bacteria
Description: partial 16S ribosomal RNA
Rfam family: Bacterial small subunit ribosomal RNA
Source: RNAcentral